UGCAGUCGAGCGGUAGCACAGAGAGCUUGCUCUCGGGUGACGAGCGGCGGACGGGUGAGUAAUGUCUGGGAAACUGCCUGAUGGAGGGGGAUAACUACUGGAAACGGUAGCUAAUACCGCAUAACGUCGCAAGACCAAAGUGGGGGACCUUCGGGCCUCAUGCCAUCAGAUGUGCCCAGAUGGGAUUAGCUAGUAGGUGGGGUAACGGCUCACCUAGGCGACGAUCCCUAGCUGGUCUGAGAGGAUGACCAGCCACACUGGAACUGAGACACGGUCCAGACUCCUACGGGAGGCAGCAGUGGGGAAUAUUGCACAAUGGGCGCAAGCCUGAUGCAGCCAUGCCGCGUGUGUGAAGAAGGCCUUCGGGUUGUAAAGCACUUUCAGCGGGGAGGAAGGCGAUAAGGUUAAUAACCUUGUCGAUUGACGUUACCCGCAGAAGAAGCACCGGCUAACUCCGUGCCAGCAGCCGCGGUAAUACGGAGGGUGCAAGCGUUAAUCGGAAUUACUGGGCGUAAAGCGCACGCAGGCGGUCUGUCAAGUCGGAUGUGAAAUCCCCGGGCUCAACCUGGGAACUGCAUUCGAAACUGGCAGGCUAGAGUCUUGUAGAGGGGGGUAGAAUUCCAGGUGUAGCGGUGAAAUGCGUAGAGAUCUGGAGGAAUACCGGUGGCGAAGGCGGCCCCCUGGACAAAGACUGACGCUCAGGUGCGAAAGCGUGGGGAGCAAACAGGAUUAGAUACCCUGGUAGUCCACGCCGUAAACGAUGUCGAUUUGGAGGUUGUGCCCUUGAGGCGUGGCUUCCGGAGCUAACGCGUUAAAUCGACCGCCUGGGGAGUACGGCCGCAAGGUUAAAACUCAAAUGAAUUGACGGGGGCCCGCACAAGCGGUGGAGCAUGUGGUUUAAUUCGAUGCAACGCGAAGAACCUUACCUGGUCUUGACAUCCACAGAACUUACCAGAGAUGCUUUGGUGCCUUCGGGAACUGUGAGACAGGUGCUGCAUGGCUGUCGUCAGCUCGUGUUGUGAAAUGUUGGGUUAAGUCCCGCAACGAGCGCAACCCUUAUCCUUUGUUGCCAGCGGUUAGGCCGGGAACUCAAAGGAGACUGCCAGUGAUAAACUGGAGGAAGGUGGGGAUGACGUCAAGUCAUCAUGGCCCUUACGACCAGGGCUACACACGUGCUACAAUGGCAUAUACAAAGAGAAGCGACCUCGCGAGAGCAAGCGGACCUCAUAAAGUAUGUCGUAGUCCGGAUUGGAGUCUGCAACUCGACUCCAUGAAGUCGGAAUCGCUAGUAAUCGUAGAUCAGAAUGCUACGGUGAAUACGUUCCCGGGCCUUGUACACACCGCCCGUCACACCAUGGGAGUGGGUUGCAAAAGAAGUAGGUAGCUUAACCUUCGGGAGGGCGCUACC
This 1408-nucleotide ribosomal RNA is filed under the name Klebsiella sp. RNAcentral describes it as "bacterial SSU rRNA". It matches the Rfam family "Bacterial small subunit ribosomal RNA". The record is from RNAcentral. Lineage: Bacteria; Pseudomonadati; Pseudomonadota; Gammaproteobacteria; Enterobacterales; Enterobacteriaceae.